Molecule: small nuclear RNA, 18 nt
Filed under: Arabidopsis thaliana (thale cress)
Lineage: Eukaryota; Viridiplantae; Streptophyta; Magnoliopsida; Brassicales; Brassicaceae
Description: snRNA_14788
Source: RNAcentral
CGCUGCAAAACUGCGUCG